This is a non-coding RNA of Podarcis lilfordi (Lilford's wall lizard), 304 nucleotides long. The record is from the annotation of a GenBank genome assembly. NCBI's taxonomy places the organism in Eukaryota, Metazoa, Chordata, Lepidosauria, Squamata, Lacertidae.
UUCAGGGCACCUCAGUCGGCAGAGCAUGAGACUACAGUGGUACCUCGGAUUAAGUACAUAAUUCGUUCCGGAGGUCUGUUCUUAACCUGAAACUGUUCUUAACCUGAAGCACCACUUUAGCUAAUGGGGCCUUCUGCUGCCGCUGCGCCGCCGCUGCCCAGUUUCUGUUCUUAUCCUGAAGCAAAGUUCUUAAGCUGAGGUAAUAUUUCUGGGUUAGUGGAGUCUGUAACCUGAAGCGUAUGUAACCUGAGAUACCACUGUACUGAUCUCAGGGUCGUGGGUUUGAGCCCCGUUUUGGGCGAAA